Molecule: unclassified non-coding RNA, 616 nt
Filed under: Hevea brasiliensis (rubber tree)
Lineage: Eukaryota; Viridiplantae; Streptophyta; Magnoliopsida; Malpighiales; Euphorbiaceae
Source: RNAcentral
UAUAAUUAAGCAGGAUUAAUGUUUGUCUUCAUUAAUAAAUAAAAUUGAAGGGUGAAAAUGAGUUUAUACAGUAUUAAAGUUUGAUGUUAUUGCUGUUUGCGUCAAUAAACAAACUUGCUAUAUAAAAUUUUAGCCGGUUUAAUUUUUAAUUAAAAAAGUUAGUGUAAUUCCCUUCGCAAGCUUCCAUAAUUUUUUUAUAUUAAUUUAGUAUUUUAUUCUCUUUGAUCAAGUCUAAAAUAAGUUUUACUAAUAUUUUCUUUGACAAAUUUAAUAACAUAAUUGAAGAGUAAGCUUUUAGAAAAUACAGAAAUAUUUUAAUUGAGUUUUAAAAAAAUAGACACUAAAUAGCUAAUUAAUUUUAACAACACGCAAUAACCUGACAAUAAUUUACUUUUUUUUUUUUAAUUUUUCACAAUUUUGAUUCUCCUAAACUUUCCUUUAUUUUUUCAUUUCCAUCAUACUACAAUUUGAUUUAUUUUGGAUUUGGUUACUCAAAUUUUGAUAUUGACAAAAAAAAAAUGAUUUAACUUUUAAAAAAAAUAAAAAUUUACAAAUAUAUUUACACUAAUUUUGAUUUCUCAAAAUCUAAAUUCAAUCCAAUAAUUUUAAAUCGGUG